Molecule: ribosomal RNA, 309 nt
Filed under: Acetobacteroides hydrogenigenes
Lineage: Bacteria; Pseudomonadati; Bacteroidota; Bacteroidia; Bacteroidales; Rikenellaceae
Source: RNAcentral
UAAGGCGCUCAGCCGAGCGGUACUAAUUGCCCAGUAGAGCUCCGAGAGGGCCGCGCCCUUAGCGGGCAGACGCCGCUUCGUCCGAAGAAUGUCAAGAAUCUAAAGAUACAAGAUUUUAGACGUUAGACGAAGACCGAAUGGCAUAUGCCGUGAAGUCUAAAGUCUAGGUACUAAAUACUAAAGUCUAAAAAUAAGACUUAGGUGGCUAGGCGGCGGGGCUCCACCCCUUCCCAUUCCGAACAGGGCCGUUAAGCCCGCCAGCGCCGAUGGUACUGCUACACCAAGCGGGAGAGUAGGUGGCCGCCAAAC